This is a long non-coding RNA of Amblyraja radiata (thorny skate), 276 nucleotides long. RefSeq lists it as uncharacterized. The transcript has 3 exons. The record is from RefSeq and is a predicted model, not a curated record. NCBI's taxonomy places the organism in Eukaryota, Metazoa, Chordata, Chondrichthyes, Rajiformes, Rajidae.
CAGUAAUUUCAAAAAAGAGGGAUCCUAACCAAGCUGAAUCUUCAAGACUAUCCAUCCCAUUCCUAAGUGACCAGAGACUUCCAAAAGGUCAAAGCUCAGAUUGGCCAAACGUCUCCUCUUCAUUGGCAUCAUUUAUUAGCUCAGAGGUCGAGGGAAAUGGGCUCUCAACGAAUAAGAUCCGAUCAGAGUCAAGUCCUGAGCUGGCACCAAAAAACUCACCGUUAAUCAUCACACAUCACUUGGAUAGCUCAAUACGAGCACCCUCAUUAUCCAGAG